This 649-nucleotide ribosomal RNA is filed under the name uncultured Actinomycetes bacterium. RNAcentral's name for it is "bacterial SSU rRNA". It matches the Rfam family "Bacterial small subunit ribosomal RNA", at positions 232 to 891 of the family's 1533-position model. The record is from RNAcentral. Lineage: Bacteria; Bacillati; Actinomycetota; Actinomycetes.
CGCGGCCUAUCAGCUUGUUGGUGAGGUAACGGCCCACCAAGGCGACGACGGGUAGCCGGCCUGAGAGGGUGACCGGCCACACUGGGACUGAGACACGGCCCAGACUCCUACGGGAGGCAGCAGUGGGGAAUAUUGCACAAUGGGCGCAAGCCUGAUGCAGCAACGCCGCGUGAGGGACGACGGCCUUCGGGUUGUAAACCUCUUUUAGCAGGGAAGAAGCGAAAGUGACGGUACCUGCAGAAAAAGCACCGGCUAACUACGUGCCAGCAGCCGCGGUAAUACGUAGGGUGCAAGCGUUGUCCGGAAUUAUUGGGCGUAAAGAGCUCGUAGGCGGUUUGUCACGUCUGCUGUGAAAAUCCAAGGCUCAACCUUGGACUUGCAGUGGGUACGGGCAGGCUAGAGUGCGGUAGGGGAGAUGGGAAUUCCUGGUGUAGCGGUGGAAUGCGCAGAUAUCAGGAGGAACACCAAUGGCGAAGGCACAUCUCUGGGCCGUAACUGACGCUGAGGAGCGAAAGCGUGGGGAGCGAACAGGAUUAGAUACCCUAGUAGUCCACGCCGUAAACGGUGGGUACUAGCUGUGGGCCACAUUCCACGUGGUCCGUGACGAAGUUAACACAUUAAGCACCCCGCCUGGGAGUACGGAUCUCGA